Long non-coding RNA from Microtus oregoni (creeping vole), 701 nucleotides. RefSeq lists it as uncharacterized. The record is from RefSeq and is a predicted model, not a curated record. Lineage: Eukaryota; Metazoa; Chordata; Mammalia; Rodentia; Cricetidae. The transcript is spliced from 3 exons.
GCCCCGCUGGGACCGUGUCUUCUGAGGACAAAAGGCUGCGGCCAGCAGGCAGACUGGGUGGGGGUUGGGGGGGAACCGGCAGGCAGGCAGGCAGACCAGUAGCAGAGCUAGCUCUGGCCCCCUCCCAGACUGGUGGUGGCAUAAAGAUGGGGGUGGGAGUCUGUAGCGGGAGAAGCACCUACCAGGACCCCCAUCUGCCCACUACUUGGGCACCCCAAAGCUGUGUGCUGCCCACCUGGUGUUCCCCAGCAUCUCCAGCUCUACCAAGUGCACCCCUCUGGCACCUGCUUCCCCUGCUGCCAGCGAUUUAGACCAACCAGGCUGUAUCCACGGCAACAGAAGCAGGAGUGUCACUGGCUGCCAGAUCACUGAGGGUCCCACAAUGUGGCCUGGACUGUGGUUUAUCCUGCUUGAGAUCGAGUGAGUUCCCUUCCUGAAUUCCAAGACGGUCCUGCUAAGAGAACCCAGUUUCUACCCACAGGUAAUAUACUUUUGCUCACUCACCCUGGAAGAUGUGUCCCAGCUAGUGGGAGGAAGCUACUAUAGGAAUAGAGGAAGAUACCCAUAAUGUGUUUGGGACCUCCAGAUCAAUGACACAGUAGCCAGAGGUCCCUGUAUCUGGAAGUGCAGGAAAACCUGGUAUACGGAGAACAUGGAUUCUACUAGGGACACAUCUCCUAACUACUAAGCUCUCAACUUUA